Molecule: non-coding RNA, 98 nt
Organism: Didymella keratinophila
Lineage: Eukaryota; Fungi; Ascomycota; Dothideomycetes; Pleosporales; Didymellaceae
Source: the annotation of a GenBank genome assembly
GGCACGGUGCCAGAGUGGUUAAUGGGUAUGACUCGAACGCUCUAGCAAAUAGAUAUCAUAUGCCUUCGGGCGCGCAGGUUCGAAUCCUGCCCGUGUCG